CUGCGCGAAGGAUCAUUAUUGAAUUUUGAGAGAGGUUGUAGCUGAUCAUUAAGAUAUGUGCACACCUCAUUUCCAAAUUUUACACCAUGUGCACUUUUUGUAGGCCGACUUCUGUUGGUCUAUGUCUUUUUAAACACACUCAAAAGUUUAGAAUGUUAAAACACAAGCUUUGUAUUUUUGCAAGCUUUUAAAAUUAAUACAACUUUCAACAACGGAUCUCUUGGCUCUCGCAUCGAUGAAGAACGCAGCGAAAUGCGAUAAGUAAUGUGAAUUGCAGAAUUCAGUGAAUCAUCGAAUCUUUGAACGCACCUUGCGCUCCUUGGUAUUCCGAGGAGCAUGCCUGUUUGAGUGUCAUUAAAUUCUCAAUCCUUUCAAACUUGUUUUGCAGAGGCUUUGGAUUUUGGAGUGUUGCUGGCCUUUCAAAGUCGGCUCCUCUUAAAUGUAUUAGCUUGUAUAUUUUUGCGGAUAAGCUUUAGUUUGAUACAUAUCUAUGCUAAUUGCUUUGAAGCAAAUGUCAGCUUCCAAUUGUUGUUUUACAACACUUUUUUGACAUUUUGACCUCAAAUCAAGUAGGACUAUCUCCCUGAACUUAAGCAUAUCAAUAAGCGGAGGAAAAGAAAAU
RNAcentral lists this ribosomal RNA (622 nucleotides) under uncultured fungus. Its description in RNAcentral is "eukaryotic LSU rRNA". The stretch from base 201 to 354 matches the Rfam family "5.8S ribosomal RNA". Lineage: Eukaryota; Fungi. The record is from RNAcentral.